AUUGAACGCUGGCGGCAGGCUUAACACAUGCAAGUCGAGCGGAUGAACGGUGCUUGCUCCUGGAGUCAGCGUCGGGCGGGUGAGUAUUGCCUAGGAGUCUCCCUGCUUUUGGUUUGUAAUGUCUUCAGGCGGGCGCUGCUACCGCAUACUUCCUGCGCCAGAAACUGGGUGAGCUUCGGAACUCAUGCUAUCAGAUGACCCUAGGUGGGAUUUGCUAGUUGGUUGGGUGAAUGCCUGCCUAGGCGGCGAUCGGUAACUAGACUGAGAGUAUGGUCAGCCGCACUGGAGCUGAGACAGGGACAAGACUACUAAGAGACGCAGCAGUGGGGAAUAUUAGACAAUGGGGGAGAGCAUGAUCCAGCCAUGCCGCGUGUGUGACGAAGAUCUUCGGAUUGUAAAGAACUUUAAGUUGGGAGGAACGGCAGUAAGUUAAUACCUUGCUGUUUUGACGUUACCAGCAGAAUAAGCACCGGCUAACUUCGUG
Molecule: ribosomal RNA, 484 nt
Filed under: uncultured bacterium
Lineage: Bacteria
Description: partial 16S ribosomal RNA
Rfam family: Bacterial small subunit ribosomal RNA
Source: RNAcentral